UCAUGCUAUACUAUUUCCAAAUGAAUUUAACUCGAGUUGUGUGCCUGCACCCGCUGCUUUCUAUACACAUCCAUCUAUGCUCUUUCUGCUCUAUCCUCCCUCUUUGUAGAUUUGAUCAAGCAAAAGCCUUUACCUUUUUGUUUUGAAUCCCUAUACCCGAACUCCUUCACAUAUUCUUUUCUCUGUGUAGAGUUACAACAAUUCCAAUACACUAUUAGCACUUAACUAUGUGUCCCUUUUCUUUUACCUUCCAAUUCCCAAAAGCUAACAACCAUAAGUGCCUCAACAGUGUAAAAAAGAAAAGACCUUUCUCAACAAUCCUUAACGACUAGGGAUAUUUGGAUAAAACUUUCAAACUCUAAUUUCUCUUCCUUCAUUCACUUGUAAAUUCUUUCAUGUGUAAUACUCGCCAUUCAGAUUGCUAGGGACUGCCAUUUUUAGCUAUGUAUUACGCACUUGAUGUUAAUGUAAGUUUCAACGGAUAGAACACAUUAUCAGAGAUUCGUUGAGUCUAAUUUGUACCAUCUAACCUCGAAAAAAAAAGGAUCUGAAUGUGGAUCAUCAAAACAGAAGAAAUUCAUCCACAACUAUAUAUAUGCUCAUUAAACACUCCAAUUUUAUUUGACGUAUUCACUGAGAGUUCAUGCAUUGUCUUGUUACCUGUCCAUACCAGUAGUCCUAGUAUUGUUGUUGUAGUUUCUUGUAAUUCAAUUAUCUUAUUACUAUGCCGUAGUAACUGUUCAGAAUGCUUUGCUAUACUUUUUCUGGAUUGCCUUCAAUUGUUUUUUUCCCUAAAACCUCUCUACCUCAAUCUCCCCAGACUCCACUUUGUGGGACUGACUACAUUGAGUCAAUGCUAGAAGAAAUAGAAUUUGUAGAAAUUUCAUAAUCAGAGCAGUUCAACUAAAGGAAAAUGACAGAGUAUUGCCCUAUUUUGGACUAAACGCAAUUUCAAGUGCCAAUUUAUAACAACUAAGGAUUUCAAUUCUCGUGACAAAAAUGUAAAAGGAGUAAAAUGCGAAAGAGAGAAAACGAGCUUACCGGUGAUCACAGAGGAUAAAUAAUCGGAGAUUCCACCGGACGGAGCUCAACGUCGGAGCAAAAUUAAAUUUUCCAACGAAACGCUGUUACAAAAACGUGAUUUCACAGAUCGUAAACAACUUCUCCGUGAUCUAUUCUUAUUGGGCUUAGAUAUCACGGCUCGUUUAGAUGGG
This 1214-nucleotide long non-coding RNA is filed under the name Solanum tuberosum (potato). RNAcentral describes it as "long non-coding RNA (STUB_LNC001922)". Lineage: Eukaryota; Viridiplantae; Streptophyta; Magnoliopsida; Solanales; Solanaceae. The record is from RNAcentral.